Molecule: ribosomal RNA, 252 nt
Filed under: uncultured Bacteroides sp.
Lineage: Bacteria; Pseudomonadati; Bacteroidota; Bacteroidia; Bacteroidales; Bacteroidaceae
Description: partial 16S ribosomal RNA
Rfam family: Bacterial small subunit ribosomal RNA
Source: RNAcentral
UACGGAGGAUGCGAGCGUUAUCCGGAUUUAUUGGGUUUAAAGGGUGCGUAGGCGGACUGUCAAGUCAGCGGUAAAAUACGGGGGCUCAACCUCCGCCCGCCGUUGAAACUGGCAGUCUUGAGUACAGUAGAGGUGGGCGGAAUUCGUGGUGUAGCGGUGAAAUGCUUAGAUAUCACGAAGAACUCCGAUUGCGAAGGCAGCUCACUGGACUGCAACUGACACUGAGGCUCGAAAGUGUGGGUAUCAAACAGG